RNAcentral lists this ribosomal RNA (496 nucleotides) under uncultured bacterium. RNAcentral describes it as "partial 16S ribosomal RNA". It matches the Rfam family "Bacterial small subunit ribosomal RNA", at positions 28 to 506 of the family's 1533-position model. The record is from RNAcentral.
GAUGAACGCUGGCGGCGUGCCUAAUACAUGCAAGUCGAGCGAACAGACGAGGAGCUUGCUCCUCUGACGUUAGCGGCGGACGGGUGAGUAACACGUGGAUAACCUACCUAUAAGACUGGGAUAACUUCGGGAAACCGGAGCUAAUACCGGAUAAUAUAUUGAACCGCAUGGUUCAAUAGUGAAAGACGGUUUUGCUGUCACUUAUAGAUGGAUCCGCGCCGCAUUAGCUAGUUGGUAAGGUAACGGCUUACCAAGGCAACGAUGCGUAGCCGACCUGAGAGGGGGACCGGCCAACAGGGAAGUGAGACACGGGCCAAAACCAAGGGGGAGGCAAGAGUAGGGAAUUUUCGGAAAGGGGGGAAAGCAUAAAGGAGAAACGCGGGGGGAGGUAAGAAGGGCUGGGGAACGUAAAAAUUUUUUAUUGGGGAAAAAAAAAAGUGAAAGAAAAUAGGCAAGUUUGAAGGGUACCAAAGAAGAAAACCAGGGUUAAUUAGGU